This 1190-nucleotide ribosomal RNA is filed under the name Mortierella globalpina. Its description in RNAcentral is "partial large subunit ribosomal RNA". It matches the Rfam family "Eukaryotic large subunit ribosomal RNA", at positions 1 to 1010 of the family's 3401-position model. Lineage: Eukaryota; Fungi; Mortierellomycota; Mortierellomycetes; Mortierellales; Mortierellaceae. The record is from RNAcentral.
UUACCCCGCCGUGRSRRCYURGCAUAUUCAUUCCGCCGGGAGGAAAAGRACUARCAASGRAAUUCYCCCUAGUAACGGCGAGUGAAGCGGGGAUGAGCUCAAAUUUAAAWYCUGGGCUGGUUUACUAGUCCGAAUUGUAGUUUAAAGRAAGCGYKUUUYCGGUGGCAGCCUGGGUAUAAAUCCUUUGGAACAGGGUAUCAUAGAGGGUGAGAAUCCCGUCUUUGACUCAGUGCAUGCUACUAUGUGAUACGUUUUCAAAGAGUCGAGUUGUUUGGGAAUGCAGCUCAAAAUGGGUGGUAAAUUUCAUCUAAAGCUAAAUAUUGGCGAGAGACCGAUAGCGAACAAGUACCGUGAGGGAAAGAUGAAAAGAACUUUGAAAAGAGAGUUAAACAGUGCGUGAAAUUGUUGAAAGGGAAACGCUUGACACCAGUCAUGCGAGCGAAAAAUCAGUCUUUUGCAGUGGGGAGAUGUGUGGGUUCGGACCGCAAGGCCGGCCUGCGCUUCAUCUCUGCUGUAAGUGAUGCACUUUUUCGUUUGCAGGCCAACAUCAGUUUCUUUUGCUGGACAAAACUCUUGAGAAGGUAGCAGCUUUGGCUGUGUUAUAGCUCUUGAGCGAUACAGUGGAGGAGACUGAGGUUUUCGCAGCGCGUGCUCUCGGGCAAGGCUGAUUGGGUGCUAUGGGAUCGUUCGGUGUACAAUGCAUGCAUUUUGCGCCGUGUCUUUUCUAUACUCGCUCAACUCGGUUCUUCCGCGCUUAGGAUGUUGGCUUAAUGGUUUUAAUCGACCCGUCUUGAAACACGGACCAAGGAGUCUAACAUAUAUGCAAGUGUUUGGGUGGCAAACCCAUGCGCGUAAUGAAAGUGAACGUAGGUGCGAUCCGCAAGGUGCAGCAUCGACCGAUCUUGAUAUUUUUUGGAUAGAUUUGAGUAAGAGCAUAUAUGCUGGGACCCGAAAGAUGGUGAACUAUGCCUGAAUAGGGUGAAGCCCAGAGGAAACUCUGGUGGGAGGCUCGUAGCGAUUUCUGACGUGCAAAAUCGAUCGUYMAAWUUUGGGGUAUAGGGSCGRAAAGACUAAWYSRAMCUCRUCUAGGUAGCUUGAUUCCUUGCCGAAGUCGCGCGCCUCAAGUAAACCACYYUCUAGUACGACACUGCAUCUACGUUGCCACGUAUAUCGUUCUGCAUCACUAGCUA